CGUAGGUGGCAAGCGUUGUCCGGAAUUAUUGGGCGUAAAGCGUACGCAGGCGGUUUCUUAAGUCUGAUGUGAAAGCCCACGGCUCAACCGUGGAGGGUCAUUGGAAACUGGGGAACUUGAGUACAGAAGAGGAGAGUGGAAUUCCACGUGUAGCGGUGAAAUGCGUAGAGAUGUGGAGGAACACCAGUGGCGAAGGCGACUCUCUGGUCUGUAACUGACGCUGAGGUACGAAAGCGUGGGGAGCGAACAGGAUUAGAUACCCUGGUAGUCCACGCCGUAAACGAUGAGUGCUAAGUGUUAGAGGGUUUCCGCCCUUUAGUGCUGCAGCAAACGCAUUAAGCACUCCGCCUGGGGAGUACGGUCGCAAGACUG
This 372-nucleotide ribosomal RNA is filed under the name uncultured organism. RNAcentral describes it as "bacterial SSU rRNA". It matches the Rfam family "Bacterial small subunit ribosomal RNA", at positions 526 to 896 of the family's 1533-position model. The record is from RNAcentral.